RNAcentral lists this ribosomal RNA (468 nucleotides) under uncultured bacterium. RNAcentral's name for it is "partial 16S ribosomal RNA". It matches the Rfam family "Bacterial small subunit ribosomal RNA", at positions 28 to 507 of the family's 1533-position model. The record is from RNAcentral.
GAUGAACGCUGGCGGCGUGCUUAACACAUGCAAGUCGAACGGAAAGGCCCUGCUCUUGUUGGGUUCUCGAGUGCCGAACGGGUGAGUGACACGUGUGUAUCCUGCCCUUGUCUUUGGGGUAACUUCAGGAAACUCGGGCUAAUAUCGCAUAGGAUCUCCUGCUGCGUGUGGGGGGUUGGAAAGAGUCGGCUGUUGGGGAUGGACUCGAUGCUUAUGGGCUGGAUGGUGAGGUAGGUGCUUACGAAGGCUUUGACGGGUAGCCCGCCUGAGAGGGUGACCGGCGACAUUAGGCCUGAGAUACGGCCCAGAAUCCAACGGGAGGCAGCAGUGGGGAAUAUUGCACAAUGGGCGGACGCGUGAUGCAGCGACGCCGCGUGCGGGAUGACGGCCUUCGGGUUAUAAACCGCUUUCGCCUGUGACGAAGCGUGAGUGACGGUAAUGAGUAAAGAAGCACCGGCUAACUACGUG